CUGUAGCGCAAUUGAUAGCGCGUUGGACUUCUAAUCCAAACGACGUGGUUUCGAAUCCCACUAUAAAUGG
Molecule: transfer RNA, 70 nt
Filed under: Trichonephila clavata
Lineage: Eukaryota; Metazoa; Arthropoda; Arachnida; Araneae; Nephilidae
Description: tRNA-Arg
Rfam family: tRNA (bases 2-63)
About the family: Transfer RNA (tRNA) molecules are approximately 80 nucleotides in length. Their secondary structure includes four short double-helical elements and three loops (D, anti-codon, and T loops). Further hydrogen bonds mediate the characteristic L-shaped molecular structure. tRNAs have two regions of fundamental functional importance: the anti-codon, which is responsible for specific mRNA codon recognition, and the 3' end, to which the tRNAs corresponding amino acid is attached (by aminoacyl-tRNA synthetases). tRNAs cope with the degeneracy of the genetic code in two manners: having more than one tRNA (with a specific anti-codon) for a particular amino acid; and 'wobble' base-pairing, i.e. permitting non-standard base-pairing at the 3rd anti-codon position.
Source: RNAcentral